AGUGAACGCUGGCGGUAGGCCUAACACAUGCAAGUCGAACGGCAGCACAGUAAGAGCUUGCUCUUACGGGUGGCGAGUGGCGGACGGGUGAGGAAUACAUCGGAAUCUACUUUUUCGUGGGGGCUAACGUAGGGAAACUUACGCUAAUACCGCAUACGUCCUACGGGUGAAAGCAGGGGAUCUUCGGACCUUGCGCGAUUGAAUGAGCCGAUGUCGGAUUAGCUAGUUGGCGGGGUAAAGGCCCACCAAGGCGACGAUCCGUAGCUGGUCUGAGAGGAUGAUCAGCCACACUGGAACUGAGACACGGUCCAGACUCCUACGGGAGGAAGCAGUGGGGAAUAUUGGACAAUGGGCGCAAGCCUGAUCCAGCCAUACCGCGUGGGUGAAGAAGGCCUUCGGGUUGGAAAGCCCUUUUGUUGGGAAAGAAAAGCAGCAGGUUAAUACCCCGCUGUUCUGACGGUACCCAAAGAAUAAGCACCGGCUAACUUCGUG
RNAcentral lists this ribosomal RNA (492 nucleotides) under uncultured bacterium. Its description in RNAcentral is "partial 16S ribosomal RNA". It matches the Rfam family "Bacterial small subunit ribosomal RNA", at positions 29 to 507 of the family's 1533-position model. The record is from RNAcentral.